UGAUGAAUGUUUUUUUUACAAAUAUUAUGACUUUUUCUACAUAUUGGUUGUAUGCAAAAAUAUGACAUAUAAAUACCCUUUUUGUUUCUUCUAUAUUUUUAUUUUUGUUGGAUCAAUUAAGUUGAUAUGAAAAUUGCAAUGCAAUGCAGUGCUUGCUUAAUUUCAAAGCUGAAAACUAACAAAAUACUAAUAUCAUAUAUUCCUUUUCGUGAUUCAAUAGUUGAUUUCGAAACACAAGUAAAAAUGAAUGGUUCAUUCAAAAUAUUUUCAUUUGUCACAAAGUAGCAGUAAUGUGCACGUGUUGCGGUGCAAAUAUAUGAAAUUGAUAUUAUCAUCAUAUACUUGUUAUAUAUAUAUAAAGUGGAACUUGAUGCGGUUUGAAUUUGAUACAUUUCAAUUGAAUCACACUAACCAAUUUUUUUUUCCUACUUAAUUGUUUUGCUACGCCACACAUACUUGGCUUGAUGAUGCCGGCAACGAAACGACCCUGGAUGCUUUGACGGCGAGCACACACACUGCUUAGUUGAACCAUCCUCGCCACCGUGACCCUGCCCUGCCACCAGCACCACCGCCGGUUCUUGCUCUGGUUCCGUGUCCACCACUAUUUGCACCCCCCUGGAUUCAUUCCAUCUUGUGUGACACAUUUUUCUUAUUAUGUCUCUUCUCAAUUCUAUUUACAACUUAGACUUAAUAUAAAUAUAUGUGCUUCACUUGACUUGGUUAAGUUAAGGAAUUUGAAAGGGAAAAUAAAUAUGUGGAUCAUAUGAAAUUGUAGAGUAAUGUUUUUAUUUUUUAUUUUAGAUAAGAUUCCUUUAGAGUGUGGUUUGUGAUUUGUAAUGAAAUUUGCAACAAGUAUUUUUUUGAGGUCAUUUUGUGAGAUUAAGACAGACAAAUCACACUGCUGUGU
RNAcentral lists this long non-coding RNA (907 nucleotides) under Cicer arietinum (chickpea). Its description in RNAcentral is "long non-coding RNA (CARI_LNC001710)". Lineage: Eukaryota; Viridiplantae; Streptophyta; Magnoliopsida; Fabales; Fabaceae. The record is from RNAcentral.